UGCCAUGUCUUCACUUCUUCUUCUUCUUUGACUAAGGUACACUUAGAGGAAUAACCAAUUUGAGAGCUCCAUAUGUAGCAGUUGUCUUUGGUCCUGAAUCCUUUCAUGAUCACUUCACUUUCUUUGUUAGAAAUCAGACAUUCAGUUUUGGUGAAGUUAACAUUCAGACCUUGAUCACAUAGUUGGUUGAUGCUUAUUAG
RNAcentral lists this long non-coding RNA (200 nucleotides) under Lathyrus oleraceus (garden pea). RNAcentral describes it as "Pisum sativum (pea) long non-coding RNA (PSAT_LNC017690)". The record is from RNAcentral. Lineage: Eukaryota; Viridiplantae; Streptophyta; Magnoliopsida; Fabales; Fabaceae.